Molecule: long non-coding RNA, 4833 nt
Organism: Columba livia (rock pigeon)
Lineage: Eukaryota; Metazoa; Chordata; Aves; Columbiformes; Columbidae
Exons: 2
Source: RefSeq, a predicted model, not a curated record
GAGGAGGAGGAGGAGGAGGAGGAGGAGGAGGAGGAGGCGGCGGCGGCGGCGGCGGCGCGGCCGGAGCAGGGAGCCGGGCUGGCAGAGGCAGCAAGGCGCGAGCGGAGCGGCGGGAUGCGGCGGUGUCGGGGCGCAGGGCUGACGGGACUGGCCGCGGUGCUCCUGGUGGCUUCGGGAAGAGCCCAAGUGCAGCAGGAGCCGUCGGCAGAGACCUCCGAGGGCACCGAAAUCAGCAUCAACUGCUCGCAUGCCAACAUACAAUCAUACGAUUUCAUCUUCUGGUACCGUCUUCUCCCGGGCCGAGGUCCCGAACUCCUCGUGAGCAGCCAUAAAGGAACCAAAGCGCUGUCGGACCCGCCAGGACGGUUGUCGGUGGCGGCAGACCGCCGGUCCAGCGCCCUGUGGCUCGAACGGCCCCGGCGCGGGGACGCGGCGGUGUAUUACUGCGCCGUGGGAGACACGGAGAGAGAAGCCGGGGCUGUGGCCGGACACGAACCGCCGCGGGCGGGGCCGGGCGGGUGUGGCGGGGGCGGAGAUACAUUCCCAGCCGGGUCCACCAGGGGGCGCUGCCCCUCUGCCCGCCGGGGCCGCUUUUCCUUGUCUCUGCUUCUGCCACUGACCAUCCCUCUCCUGCACACUCCCCAAAUAAUUUUCACUGCAUCCCCUAAGAAUUCUGAUUCCCUGUAAUCAGAAACAUCCCUCAGUUUAUAUGACUGUAACGGGGGCACCUCAAAGACAGUUUUAGGUGGAUAAGUUCCAAAACAGACUUUAUUCUAGCUGGAAAAGUGUAGCAAAUAAAUGGACUAGGAACAGGGUUCAUACACUUAGUUAGUACUCCGACAACAUAAAAUACAGUUUUGGAUAUCAGUUGAGGAGAUUAUUGGGGUACAACAACAUAAGAAUAAUGAGGAUCCACAAUGCACAUGCACACACACUCAUAAGAAACAAAACAAGAGUUCUCUGCCUCCAGGGUAUCCACAAGAAAUAAUCACUCGCUUGGGUUAGACGAGGGUUUACACUUCCCUGGUUAGUCAAGGACUCACAUUUGCCUGGGUUAGGUAAGCGCUCAUUCAAGGAUAUAUCCAGUAAAUAUCCACUCACCCAAACGAGGAGGUGAGGUGCUCUCAAUCCCCGAUAACCUCCUUAGACGACGUACCAGGCUAAGGGGAAGGGUCCAGUUCACAGACCUGCUGCUCUGAGAAGAACACUCCAAAAGCACCUUCUGUGGGAAACAGGUCAAAUAUGAGUGUGGUCAUUACAAUGUAGACCAGAAGCUUCACAGCUACUCUGGGCACCUCCUUUGUUAAGGACCCAGUCAAUUGACCAAGGGUCCCACCCCUCCUGCCCCACCAGCUGGUAGAGGUGGAGUCACCCUGUCCCAGGCUAGGGGAGGAUGGGACUAUCAGCACAUUGGUACCACCCUAGAUGUGUAUGUGGGCCAGGGAAAGCGGGACACAAAAGGUGCUGAAGAGCCAUCAGCUGCCACUUUGAAGGCUCCAGAUCUCAGGGGGAUGUGCAACUCCCACAAUUACGAUCACCUCACCCUUAUGGGAGGUGUUAUCCCCACACAAGGGGAUGAUUGCAGUACCCUAAGGGUUAGUGAGAAGAUCAUGAUAAACAGGCUUGUGCUGGAUGUCUUCCUGCCAAAUAGAAGCCGUGUGUCUGACUCUGGGUAGGAGUGUUUGCAGCUGGUGCUGUUCCCAGACAUUUUGCCUUGAGGUGACUCAUCCAUGGCCUUGGAGGAGGGGGCAGUAAACCCCUGUGGGGAGAGGGACUCAUGCUGACUCCUGCUUCCAGGUACCUUGGUCUGUGCCUCAUUCUGCCUCCUACCAAGGGACAAGGAGGACAUAGGUGGUCUUUCUCCCCCUUAAUAUAUUGAAAGACCACACAGAGGUCUCUCUGCAGCCUUCUCUUCAGCUGUUCUUCAUCAGACAGCUGUUCCAGUACUUGAAUUGUUUUUUUGUGGCCAUCCCCUGGAGGGCCUACUCUAACAGGUCCAUGUCUUUUUUUAUUGGGAAGCCCAAAACUGGUCAAAGUCCUUCAGGUAGGGUGUCACGAGAACCAAGAACAGGGGAGAAUCACUUCCCUUCACCUGCUGGCUGCACUUCUUUUGAUGCAGCCAAGGAUACAAUUGGCUUUCUGGGCAGCAAGCACACAUUGCUGUCUCAUGUCCAAGUUGUCAACCACCAGUGUCACCGAGUCCUUCUCCAGAGGGCUGGUCUCAAUUCCUUCAUUGCCCAACCUGUAUUGAUACUGGGAAUUGCCCUGACCCAGGUGCAGGACCUUGCACUUUGCCUUGCUGAACCUUAAGAGCCCACUUAAGCUCUCUUUUCCUGAUUGUGUGAUCCCUUCCUGGAACAUCACCCCAGGCCCUUUGCUCAUCAGCUGUGUUCAUCAGUCCCUCACAGGGCUGCUGGAUACUCUCUCCCUCCCACAUCAUUCCUAGUAGAAAGUCCUCCUUAUCAGGUCAGCUAUCUUAAUCACAAAGGCAACUUUCCCUACUUGGUGAGGUGGAUCCCACCUCUCCUGAGCAGAUGCUGCUCUGCAAACAGGAUCCCAUGGCUGUGGGACCUUAAACCCUGUCAGCAGCUCCAGCCAAUUUUUGACCUGCAUUAUCAAUUCCCUUCUACUCACACCGCCAGGACUGAGGACAACACCACUUGGGCCCCCAUGCCCUUGACUACCUUUCUGCAGAGCUUUGUAAUUUCUUUUGGUAUUGUCCAGGUUUCCCCUAGUAGUAUCAUUCACAGUAUCACAGUAUGUUUGGGAUUGGAAGGGACCUCAAAAGAUCAUCUAGCCCAAUCCCCCUGCAGUAGGGGGUAACAGUCAGAGAGCCAAGUGAGGUUCGUCAGUUCCUCCACAUCAUCCCAGACAUGAGCCCCUGGGAGAUAGGAAACCUCUAUAGAUGAUAGGGCAGGUUGGUGUCUCUGUCCCCUGCAACACAAAAUCACCCAUAAGGAUCACUCACUGCUUCCUUCUGAUAGCCAUGCGUGGUUUAGGGUCAGGUGGACCAGGUGCUUUGCUUCAAGGCACAUCUGGCCCUUCUUUAAUGUUGAAGGCAGUGAACUUAUUCUGUAAUUGUAAGCCCUUGGGUGGGGCAGGAGCCCCACUUGGUCCCAGAAGUCCUCAGAUUGCUCUCUGUGAAUCUACUUUUGAAGGCUUUAGAAUCCACAAGUGGUGGUUGUUUUUAAGAACUGCCUUUAAAAAUCACUGGAGCAGGCAAUUCCAUUGUAUCCUAACUUAAGAAAGCAUGGCAGAAGACUAGCUUGGUUGAACAGGAAACUCCUUGUAGAACUCAAGAGAAAAAAGAAAUCGUGCAGUCUCUGUGUUUCACAGGAAGAUUACAGAGCUGUGGUUUACCUAUCCAGGGAGAAGACAGGAAAAGCCAGAGCUCAAUUAGAGUCGGAAUUGGCCGUGUUGUUUCAGGCAACAAGAAAGACCUUUUUAAGUACAAUAGUAACAAGACAAAGUUUAAAGGAAACAUUGGACCGAUCCUUGUUGAAGAUGGCCACUUGACUAAUAGGGGUGAAGUAAAAGUGGAGGCAUUAAAUGCUUUUUUGCCUUUGUCUUUAAUACUAUAUGUUGCCCAUGCUCGUCAAGUAAUGGGCCCACGUUAUUUUUUGUUUGCCUUUAACUUAUUUUUAUAAAUCCUUUUUACUGCCCCUCACAGUGCUGAAGAGCAGUUCCUGGUCCUGAAGAUCAUUGUCCCUGUGUUACCACCCGACCCAGCACUCACUCCCACAGAACCUGGCCUGGGGACAGGUGUCCCUAGUCCUCACCCCAGGCAGGAAUCACUCUGUCUUCUGCCUCAGUCCUGUGGCAUGUGGGGUCUGUGUGAGGGCAAACCCAGCACCACAGAGUCUGCAGUUGUGGGAAGGCCUUGUCCAGUCUGUGGGGAGCAGCCAUUCUGCACAGAGCACAAGGGCCGCUUCAGCCUCAGAGCCCUGGGAAUGCUGAAGGACUUGGGUUCCUGAGAGAAAGCACCUCAAGGUGUGCCCUGUGGUUGUGCUGGUGUGUGCCCUGUGCAUUCAGGGACAGCUCACAGAUCCUGCUGAGUGUGGAAUCAAAUCCCUCUGUCACUGCUGUGUCCUAAUGGAGCUGGGAGAUUCUACUCUCACACAGAAACUUUCUGGGCCAGAGCUGGGUUGUGACACUUGUGGGACUGCAGAGUUCCUGGGCCUCAGAAAAGUUGUGCUUGAGGAAGCGCUGUGGUUUAACCCCAGCCAGUAACUAAGCACCACACAGCCACCUGCUCACUCUUCCCGCAGUGGGAUGGGGGGAGAAUCAGAAGACAAGGCAGCACAAAGUAGUUUUGCAAGUUCAGGCACCAGUCACUGUCCUAGGGCUGCCUUCACCCACAGAGAUCAUGGGUUCACAGGGACAGAGGACUCCCAUGUGUGGCCCGCUGCAGCUGGUACCAGAACUGACUUGUCAACACCUCAGCCCUACAUAAGUUGGUGUAGACAUUACCACUUAAAAGAAUGUAUCAGUCAGCAAUUGCUAACCUUUAGAUAUGUAAACCCCCUCAGAUUAAGGUCAGUCUAUUCCUCUAACAAGGGAAAGAGUGACUUAAAAAACACCUAAUCAGAAACUACAGUGACCUUGCAGCUUUAGACGUUCUGGAGCUUGCACAAUUAACUGAGUCUUCUUUCAAUGUAUAUCUUGAGACUGUUAGAUAAAGUGUCCUUUACCUGAAUAUUGCUCAUUGUAUACUAAAAUGGUUAUGUAACAAAUAUGGAAAUGUGUAACUAGUUGGCUCUUAAGAACUACCCUGAAAGUGUGAAUACAUUGGUAAGGUUUUGAAUGCAAUAACUGUUAUUUUUCCUUCUGUCA